RNAcentral lists this ribosomal RNA (288 nucleotides) under uncultured microorganism. RNAcentral's name for it is "partial 16S ribosomal RNA". It matches the Rfam family "Archaeal small subunit ribosomal RNA", at positions 330 to 617 of the family's 1478-position model. The record is from RNAcentral.
GCGCAGCAGGCGAGAAACCUCCGCAAUACACGAAAGUGUGACAGGGCCAUCCCGAGUGCCGUCCGCUGAGGACGGCUUUUCCCCAGUGUACAUAGCUGGGGGAAUAGGGAGAGGGCAAGCCUGGUGUCAGCCGCCGCGGUAAUACCAGCUCUCCGAGUGGUGGGGACGCUUUAGUUGGGCCUAGAGCAUCCGUAGCCGGCUGGGCAAGUCCUCCGUUAAAUCCAACGAUUCAAUCGUUGGGCUGCGGGGGAUACUGUCCAGCGUUGGGGGCGGGAGAGGCCGACGGUA